This 1378-nucleotide long non-coding RNA is filed under the name Triticum aestivum (bread wheat). RNAcentral's name for it is "long non-coding RNA (TAES_LNC000167)". Lineage: Eukaryota; Viridiplantae; Streptophyta; Magnoliopsida; Poales; Poaceae. The record is from RNAcentral.
CGGUGGGGUGUUUUUUUUUCUUGUACCGGUCGGGUCGGGUGGGCUUCGAUCUCAGGAACAUCUUCAUCGGGCCCUAUAUAGGGCUGGCCGUGAUCCAAAUAACUAUUCUGAUCCUAGGAUCAGAAUAGUGCUACUAUAUAUAUAUAUAUAUUUGCCGAACUGCAGGAAGCAAGUACAGUCAGGAGAAGGAGGCGCUACAGAAGCAAACUGAGUUCAGGUCUGAGUACGAGAACUCAGGCAAGCUCUCCUUGAUCAUACUGAGUAGAACUUAAAAAAACACUAUUCUCUGCUAUCUUAUCAUCAACUUGCAUAAAAUGUUUUUGAAUAAAUCGUGUGGAGUGAAUGUUGGUGAAUAUUUGGGUUAGCUGAUGGAGCAGCUAAUCCAUUCUUUUUAUAUAAAUAUUUGGUGGGUAGAGGGUGCCCGGAAUGGACAUACUGGAAGGUGGGGUCCUCUACAUAUGGCUAUGAUAUUAAGAUUAAAUAACUUUCACUCGUUUUAUGCGUCGUACAACCGUAUCAACCAUGGUCUCGUCUAAGACGGGUUGAGCCCAUUACCCAUCAAGUUAUUAUACUCUCCACAUGGGUAAGUAGUAGUAGGAUGGGCGAUGAGUUCCCAAGCUAAUGCCGGAUGGGUGCAUUAGCAAGCGCUAUAUAUUAAGCGUUGGUGGAGUGCAGGUUCCGAAACCCGACACAACGGCUAGUAACCACUAGCCAGGUGGAGAUAUAAUAUACAUAAUGGGAAAAAGCUUAGGUUCUGAACCAUGUCUCGCAUCUAAGGAAAUGCAGAUGGCAAUUAUGGUUUCGAGCUCUAUGGGUAAAGUGAUACAAACUCUGCAGAGUUAAAGCAAACAUGAAUUCAUGCCAGUCUCUUGGAUUGGAGACUACGGGGACCUAUUGGUGGUUCUAUCUCGCAAUACGAGUGUUUGAUAGCUUUUAUAAUUUAAAAUGGACUUUCUGCAACAAAUGUUCUUUUUUAAACGGGGUUGAGUUGAGGUAGGACUUGUUGAUUUAUAUUGAGCUAUCAUGAGUGUUGCAUUCUUCUAUUUGAGCUUGCUGAAUACCUUGUACUCACUCUUGCUAUUAAUCAUUUUUUUCUUAGAGCAAAGCUUGUAUGAGAAUCCUACUAGACCAAGUGAGGAGAGCAAUGGUGAUGGCUACAACUACACAGGGGACCUAGAUGUGGAUCCAUCUAGUGCUAUGUACAAUUUGUAUGCCACAUAUGGGGGUUGGGAUGAAUAAGUAACUUAUGAUCUAGCUAUGUAAUCUAGAAACUAUUUUAUCACCACCUAUCUAGUAUUGCUAGUUGGAACUCCAAUGUUAGUAGUUGUAAUAAUUUGGUGGACAUGUGAGAAGCCUACUUGAGACUUGUUGCCCUGCG